AUUGAACGCUGGCGGCAGGCCUAACACAUGCAAGUCGACCGAGUGGCGGACGGGUGAGUAAUGUAUGGGAAACUGCCUGAUGGAGGGGGCUAACUACUGGAAACGGUAGCUAAUACCGCAUACCAUCGGAUGUGCCCAGAUGGGCUUAGCUAGUGGGUGGGGGAAAGGCUCACCUAGGCGACGAUCACUAGCUGGUCUUAGAGGAUGACCAGCCAAAUGUGAACUGAUACACGGUCCAGACUCCUACGGGAGGCAGCAGGGGGGAAUAUUGCACAAUGGGCGAAAGCCUGAUGCAGCCAUGCCGCGUGUAUGAAGAAGGCCUUCGGGUUGGAAAGUACUUUCUGCGGGGAGGCGUUACCCGCAGAAGAAGCACCGGCUAACUCCGUGCCAGCAGCCGCGGUAAUAC
Molecule: ribosomal RNA, 406 nt
Filed under: uncultured bacterium
Lineage: Bacteria
Description: partial 16S ribosomal RNA
Rfam family: Bacterial small subunit ribosomal RNA
Source: RNAcentral